CACUGGGUGAGUCCCUUCCCCUUGCCAGGCCUCAGUUUCCCAGUCUGUAAAACAAGGGGGUUGGAGGGGCUGACUCUAGAGCUGACUCUGACCUUUUCUCUCCAGGCAUAGGUGAACGGUGUGACCACACCAGGCCAGGGAAGAAACACGUGCCCAGCCUGCCAUCUGCCCUCCUGUCUUGGAGCCAGGUCUUUCCACCAGCUUCCUUCAUCUUUUAACACUUGGUGAAAAGGAAUGACACGUCAGUCAAAGCCACUGGCCGGUGCUCAUGGAGCAUCUGGCAGGAGGAAGCCCCUUCCUGGCUGGCCUCCCAUUCAUCAGUCAGCGCCGCAGGCUGGGCCAGGAAACAACCAAAAUGUUCUUCAAUAGGUGAAUGGUGAAAUAAAUGGCGGAACAUGUAUACUACAGAAAACUGCUCGGCAAUGAAAAGGAAUGAAUUAUUGAUACAUGCAAUAGUUUGAACUGAUCUCAAAGUCAUUAUGUUAAAUGAGAAAAAAAAAAGCCAAGUUCAAAAGGUGACAUACUGUAUGAUUCCAUUUAUAUAACUCUCUUGAAAUGACAAAAUUAUAGUGUUGGAAAACAGGUUAGUGGUUGCCAGAGGUGAGGGAUAGUUGGAGAGAGGGGGAUGGGUGUGACUAUAAAGAGGUAGCACAAGAAAGAUUUUUAUGGUGAUGAAAUAAUUCUGCAUAUUGACUGUGAGGUGCUUACAAAUAUACACAUAUGAUAAGAUGACAUAGAACUAUACACACACAUUGUACCAGUGUCAAAUUCAUAGUUUUAAUAUUAUACUAUAACCAUCUAAAAUGUAACCACGGGGGGAAACUGAG
This 827-nucleotide long non-coding RNA is filed under the name Pan troglodytes (chimpanzee). RNAcentral describes it as "long non-coding RNA NONPTRT011736". The record is from RNAcentral. Lineage: Eukaryota; Metazoa; Chordata; Mammalia; Primates; Hominidae.